This 512-nucleotide ribosomal RNA is filed under the name uncultured bacterium. RNAcentral's name for it is "bacterial SSU rRNA". It matches the Rfam family "Bacterial small subunit ribosomal RNA", at positions 10 to 522 of the family's 1533-position model. The record is from RNAcentral.
ACUUUGAUUAUGGCUCGGGACGAACGCUGGCGGCGCGCCUAACACAUGCAAGUCGAGCGGGAAGCUUUUUAAGGAUUCUUCGGAUGAAUUAAAAAGUGGAGAGCGGCGGACGGGUGAGUAACGCGUGAGAAACCUGCCCUAUACAGGGGGGAUAGCCAUUGGAAACGAUGAUUAAUACCCCAUAUGACCACAGUAUCGCAUGAUACAGCGGUGAAAACUCCGGUGGUAUAGGAUGGUCUCGCGUCUGAUUAGCUUGUUGGUGGGGUAACGGCCUACCAAGGCGACGAUCAGUAGCCGGCCUGAGAGGGUGACCGGCCACACUGGAACUGAGACACGGUCCAGACUCCUACGGGAGGCAGCAGUGGGGAAUAUUGCACAAUGGGCGAAAGCCUGAUGCAGCGACGCCGCGUGAACGAUGAAGGCUUUCGAGUCGUAAAGUUCUGUCCUUGGGGAAGAUAACGACGGUACCCAAGGAGAAAGCACCGGCUAAAUACGUGCCAGCAGCCGCGGUA